ACUUCCGCUUCCGGCUGGGGCGCGGGAGGGGGCGGGUACCGGUGAACUGGGGUUCGGGAAGCGGUAGCGGUGGAGCCAGGCUUGCGUCUCCGAGCCCUGGGUUUCGCUCGCCGGGCCGCGCGCGCCUCGCCGGCCCCGCCUGGGAGUGGUGCGGGGCGGAGAGCGGCGCUCCUCAGGGCGGCGCCGGAAGGGCGGCGACUUGCAGUGGAGCCCGGGGCCGAGGGAGCGGCGUCCACGAAGCCGAGCUGUCUGAGGAAGAAGAUCCAUUUAUUGAUUUUGUUCCAGACCAGACUGGACCUCAGUUGUCAAGGGUGGUGCUGGUGGGGUGCCCAACACAGAAGCAAAACAGUUCCUAGAGGAGAAUGAUGACGGUUGCAGCUCAUGAGCUGGGAAAAGAGGCAGUGCUCUUGGGAGAAACAGCAGAGGCCCCAGGCUUCAAGCUGAAGCCAGCAGAGUCCCAGCCAAUGGGCAUGUGCCAGGAUGAAGAAUUUUGGAAUACAUACCGAUGUCAACAAGAAUACCUGAGCAAGAAUAGUCAUAAAGAAACUGAACCUGUAUAUAAGAGGGGUAAGGAGCUUCAUGAUAAUUUCCUUCUCCUGGGAGCUAUGAUAGUCAUUUGUUCAGCCAGAACGUUGUAAACAUUUUCUAGGUGCCCAUCUCUGUGGAUCUGCAAAUGCAACCAUGUUAGCGAUUACAGUGCCACUCCCUGAUGGUAGUAGAAUAGACUAGCUGUGGGUGAAGUUGGAGGUUGGCCUAAAGUACAGAAAUAUCCAAACCACAGAACCCUGGUAAUAACAUCAUGAACUCUUCCUUAGUAAAGUGGGGAGGGUUAGGGCCACCUCAUCCUUGUAAAAUACAGAAGGAAUUGGGAUCAGAAAUGUGCUGUCAGUGACAAAAUGUGAAUGCUAUUCUGUACCAGGAAAAAAAUAAUAAAGAUUAAAAACUACA
This is a non-coding RNA of Equus caballus (horse), 948 nucleotides long. The record is from RefSeq and is a predicted model, not a curated record. NCBI's taxonomy places the organism in Eukaryota, Metazoa, Chordata, Mammalia, Perissodactyla, Equidae.